RNAcentral lists this ribosomal RNA (250 nucleotides) under uncultured bacterium. RNAcentral's name for it is "partial 16S ribosomal RNA". It matches the Rfam family "Bacterial small subunit ribosomal RNA", at positions 524 to 776 of the family's 1533-position model. The record is from RNAcentral.
UACGGAGGGUGCAAGCGUUAUCCGGAUUUACUGGGUUUAAAGGGUGUGUAGGCGGGCUUUAAGUCAGUGGUGAAAUCUCCGGGCUCAACCUGGAAACUGCCAUUGAUACUAUUAGUCUUGAAUUUUGUUGAGGUAGGCGGAAUAAGUCAUGUAGCGGUGAAAUGCAUAGAUAUGACUAGAACACCAAUUGCGAAGGCAGCUUGCUAAACAAAUAUUGACGCUGAGGCACGAAAGCGUGGGAUCAAACAGG